GACGAACGCUGGCGGCGUGCUUAACACAUGCAAGUCGAACGAAGUGGCGAACGGGUGAGUAACGCGUAAUCAACCUGCCCUUCAGUGGGGGACAACAGUUGGAAACGACUGCUAAUACCGCAUACUGAAGGAGGGGAUUGCGUCGGAUUAACUAGUUGGCGGGGUAACGGCCCACCAAGGCGAUGAUCAGUAGCAGGUCUGCGAGGAGGAACGGCCAAAUUGCGACUGAGACACGGCCCAGACGCCUAAGGGAGGCAGCAGUGGGGAAUCUGCCGCAAUGGACGAAAGUCUGACGGAGCAACGCCGCGUGAGUGAUGACGGCCUUCGGGUUGGAAAGCUCUGUUAAUCGGGACGCGGUACCGGAAUAGAAAGCCACGGCUAACUACGUGCCAGCAGCCGCGGUAAUUC
RNAcentral lists this ribosomal RNA (408 nucleotides) under uncultured bacterium. Its description in RNAcentral is "partial 16S ribosomal RNA". It matches the Rfam family "Bacterial small subunit ribosomal RNA", at positions 28 to 526 of the family's 1533-position model. The record is from RNAcentral.